This 301-nucleotide ribosomal RNA is filed under the name uncultured bacterium. Its description in RNAcentral is "partial 16S ribosomal RNA". It matches the Rfam family "Bacterial small subunit ribosomal RNA", at positions 509 to 807 of the family's 1533-position model. The record is from RNAcentral.
CAGUCGCCGCGGGAAAACGGAGGGUGCAAGCGUUAAUCGGAAUUACUGGGCGUAAAGCGUGCGUAGGCGGUUCGUUAAGUCUGUUGUGAAAGCCCCGGGCUCAACCUGGGAAUGGCAAUGGAUACUGGCGAGCUAGAGUGUGUCAGAGGAUGGUGGAAUUCCCGGUGUAGCGGUGAAAUGCGUAGAGAUCGGGAGGAACAUCAGUGGCGAAGGCGGCCAUCUGGGACAACACUGACGCUGAGGCACGAAAGCGUGGGGAGCAAACAGGAUUAGAUACCCCUGUAGUCCCUGUCUCUUAUAC